CACUAAGGACAAAAAGAAGAACAUCUUAUAUAAGAUCAUGGUAUGGCUUUGUUCAUACUGGUGUCUUUCUAAACAGACAUGGGAGAGGAGGUUUCCCUAACUGGCCCAUGGAUCUUGUGUCCAGUUUCUGUCCAUUGGUUCUAUAAGGGAAUGAAACACAUGGAUUUUUCCUUUUGGUUUCCACACUGGGAACCUGGAGUGUAAGGCCCCAAUAUCAAGCUGUGAACCCUUAUGAGACCAGCACCCCUUAGAGAAGUCAGGGGAACAGGGACCCCAUAAACAAGAUAAUGGCAGUGGAUAGCAGCUUCUGUCUUAACACACUCAUGGGAGUUGUGAGUUAGACAGGUCUCACAGCAUUUGGCUUCACUGAAAAGUGGUAGUGUUGUGUGCUCAAAAGCAACACUUGGUAAGGACCAAGAACCUCCACUUGGGAGACUUCUGCUUGAGGGAAUCCAAGGUGUAACUGAAAGCUCCUGUGACUAAUCCUUUACUAAUUCUAUGAAUACUUUGUAAGACUGCUGGCCCUUUGCUAUACCACACACCAUUAUGCUUAUUUAUGUUAUAUAUUUUUGGAUUUAUUGAUUUCUUUGAGAUUAAAAUAUUAUAUGUGCACCAUCAGAAUGAUAAGACGACUUCCGGAAAGUAUUUGAAAGGCUUUACCCUAUCCCUUACAGGUGUGGGUCAACUCAAACUGGAAUAACUGCCUGAUCAUGCCUUUUAACCUAGUCACAUAAAACAGACAUGACGUGUGACUAUUUAUUAAUUCAGAUUAACGCUGAUUAAUUUGCAACCAACAUAUAACCCAAAAGCAGACAUUCUCUAAAUAUCCCAGUUUAAAUGGCAUUACCAACGGGCACCAAAAUAUAAGGAUCCGCAAGUAGAGUCAGAUAUGGUGUUGCAGGAAUACUCUAUGGUAAAGAAGAAAAAGUAUUAGAAAGACCCAAUCUUUUCUUUGUCUUUCUGAACCUGAGUAUGCAUGUACAGUACUUACUCCUGGGGAAAACUUUGGCCUAAGUAUACACAGCCGGAGGGCUAAAGACAAAGCAGAAAAGGAAUACGUUAUUGACUCAAAGUGCUGCAAUUAUCAGGUGCAGGCAGUUUACUGUUGAUAGAAAAAUUGUCAGACCUAUUGGUGGACCUAGUGAUGCUUAUGCACAUGCGUAGAUGUCUUGUCAUCAUGCCCAAACAAACACCACAUUGUGACAUCACUAUUAGUGAUGAGCAAAUCUGUCCUGUUUCGAUUCGCUGAAAACAUUUCAAAAUGGCGAAAAAUUUGCACAUGGUGUAAAAUGAUCUGUGCCUGGCGAAAAAUUUAGCUCAUCACUAAUCACUAUGCCAAACUCAAAAUAAAAGGAUUCCAGAAGCAUGGGUUUAAUGCCCAAUCGUAUUUUUUGUUUCACUGUAAAGUUUCAGUGUGCGCUAUUUCAUUGGUUUAGCAACUUCUUCUCUGUCCCUGACUAUUCUGAUUGCUGACAGCCUUGGUUUGUGCCUGACUCUUGGACUCUAUGCUUAUCUAUUCUGAUACGACUUCUGUUUAUUCUACAGGUUCCCCAGUUUCCAAAAGUGCCCUCCCAACCUACAGGUCCCAACGGCCUUUUAGCCUUAAUGCUUAUCUUUCAUAACAAGUACUUCCAGGAGUCUACACACGUGGGGACGCCGCAGAGGGGGACGCGCAGACACCGUGCAGUGAGGGAGCGCUGGGAAAUCAUCGGUGGCGCAGAGUCACAGCGGCUAAAACAUAGAAUGGAGAGGACUUCCCAAAAAACCCAUUCAUAAGAGAUCCAAAGGGAGCACCAACUGCAGAGAUGUAGAAAUGGAAGUAUCUGUGGUGAUAUCUUUAUCCAUAAAUAACUGGCCUGCCUUGUUGCUGCCCAAUUGGGUUGAAGUGUCUACAACUGACAGAUGGAUAUUGAUGGAUACUAUAUGUGUGUCAUUUCGGAAUAUUUCUGCUGGCCGAACUACAUUCUCAAAUGUCCUUUUCUGUGACGGAUCCAGCAGUCACCCCAGGGACAUAUGCCCUUCAACCCAGACUGGGUCCUCAUCAAAUGACAUGUCACUGAGCCCCUCCAGCCAUGCUUGGAUGUACCAAGUGCUGCUGAUCACCAAGACUGCUGUGAAAGUUGAAGGUUUUAUUAUUUCACUUCAAGAACUACCAUUUGCUUUGGGGGUUUAGGGUAAGUGUAGACAUAAUAACUCCCCUUUCCUUGUGCCACCCAAGUCCCAGGGACCUUGGGAUUCAGUGUUAUGGCAGUAGGUCCCCAUUGGGUGAUGACUACUAGGAUUAUCAUGCUUACUUGGGCUAUACUAAUAGGCUCCAAGCCAGAUAAAGGACUGGAGAGCCCUGAUUACUAUGCAGAGCAACAGAAAUAAAGACUUUGAGACUGUGUGGCUAUAUGUUUGUUUUGGAUUUCUGCCUGCAAGUUGGCAUGGGUUUUCCAAUGGCGUGGCAAUCAUUUUACAUGAGUAUUUCAUGACUUGUGAUGUUAACGGGCGCUAAUUUUUUAUUAUCUAUGGUUUUUGAAUUAUUUAGGAUUUUUUUUUUCAGCUGCU
Molecule: long non-coding RNA, 2550 nt
Organism: Xenopus tropicalis (tropical clawed frog)
Lineage: Eukaryota; Metazoa; Chordata; Amphibia; Anura; Pipidae
Exons: 3
Source: RefSeq, a predicted model, not a curated record